UGGCGGCAGGCCUAACACAUGCAAGUCGAGCGGUAGAGAGAAGCUUGCUUCUCUUGAGAGCGGCGGACGGGUGAGUAAUGCCUAGGAAUCUGCCUGGUAGUGGGGGAUAACGUUCGGAAACGGACGCUAAUACCGCAUACGUCCUACGGGAGAAAGCAGGGGACCUUCGGGCCUUGCGCUAUCAGAUGAGCCUAGGUCGGAUUAGCUAGUUGGUGAGGUAAUGGCUCACCAAGGCGACGAUCCGUAACUGGUCUGAGAGGAUGAUCAGUCACACUGGAACUGAGACACGGUCCAGACUCCUACGGGAGGCAGCAGUGGGGAAUAUUGGACAAUGGGCGAAAGCCUGAUCCAGCCAUGCCGCGUGUGUGAAGAAGGUCUUCGGAUUGUAAAGCACUUUAAGUUGGGAGGAAGGGCAGUUACCUAAUACGUGAUUGUUUUGACGUUACCGACAGAAUAAGCACCGGCUAACUCUGUGCCAGCAGCCGCGGUAAUACAGAGGGUGCAAGCGUUAAUCGGAAUUACUGGGCGUAAAGCGCGCGUAGGUGGUUAGUUAAGUUGGAUGUGAAAUCCCCGGGCUCAACCUGGGAACUGCAUUCAAAACUGACUGACUAGAGUAUGGUAGAGGGUGGUGGAAUUUCCUGUGUAGCGGUGAAAUGCGUAGAUAUAGGAAGGAACCACCCCAGUGGCGAAGGCGACCCCUCCUGGACUGAUAC
Molecule: ribosomal RNA, 713 nt
Filed under: Pseudomonas sp.
Lineage: Bacteria; Pseudomonadati; Pseudomonadota; Gammaproteobacteria; Pseudomonadales; Pseudomonadaceae
Description: bacterial SSU rRNA
Rfam family: Bacterial small subunit ribosomal RNA
Source: RNAcentral